GUCCUGGUGAAGAUGCUGUGAACAUUGUAGAAAUGGCAACAAAGGAUUCAGAAUAUUACAUAAACUUGAUAAAGCCGCAUCAGGGUUUGAGAGAAUGGACUUUAAUUUUGAAAGAAGUUCUUCAGUGAAUGAAAUGCUAUCCAACAGCAUUCCAUGCUGUAGAGAAAUAUUUUGUGAAAGGAAGAGCCAGUUGAUGCAGCAAACCUCAUUGUUUUUUUGCCACAGCCACCACCUCCAUCAGCAACCACCACCCUUAUCAGUCAGCAGCAUGAGCAUGGAAGCAAGACCCCCCAGCAGCAAAACGAUUAUGGCUCACUGAAGGCUCAGAUGAUCGUUAAUAUUUUUUAACAAUAAAGUGCUUUUAGUAAACUACAGUAUAGGGUAGAUACUUUUACAUGUUCUGGAACACUAAAAAUUUGUGUGACUUGCUCUCUUGCAAUAUUCACUUUUGCAGUGGUCUGGAACUGAACCCACAAAUUCUCCGAGGUAUGCCUGUAUGUAUUCAACUCAUCAUCUGCUAUAUAGCUGAGAAAGAAAAGCAUCCUUUUGACAGUGUAGCGCUUUAUCCCAGGGGUGAAAAAGAGAAACAGUAUUAUUCUUUCUGGGAAACUUGGCCACAAAUAUAUAGGGAAAGGAGAACAUUGAAGUUCUGUCUUUUAAACUCUAAAUUACCUGAAUGGAGCCAGCUCAGAGCACACAGACCAUCUUGGCUGGAGUUUUCCUGCAGAAUUCUUCUAGUUUUCACGUUGCUUAGACACAAGCAGUCUGAUCACUCGUCUCUGCAUCAGCCAGUUCCUGUGUGUAUUUGGCAUUAUUUUAAGCUUAGCAAUUCAAACGGCAUUGCCUGAGUUAACUUACAUUGUGAAAGAUAGAUUACACAGAAGCAAAUAAGUGAUAAAAAUAUAAGCCUUUUACAUUUUUCUCCUGCCAUAGUAUAUCCCGUUAGAUUAUGCAUCUUUUGGUUUCUUCAGAAACCUGGCAAGAAUACAGGACGGGGAAAAGUCUUAGGAGAAAGCAGAUCUCAGUUUGCGUCGUGGCUCUACUGUGUAUAAGCAGGUGACUUUAGCGAGGUUAUUUACCUUCUUCAAGCCUCAGUUUACACAUCAGUUAUAACUGGGGAUUGUUUCCUGCCUCAUGAUUAUUGGAGUUUAAUGAGUUGAAUCUAAAACAAGCCCACUGUAAAGCAGAUCAUCAACAAAUAUGCUCCUUCCCCUUGCAAAAAGUUAGUGUUUUUAUAACUAGAGUUUGCCUUGCCCCUCAAUUUGGAAUGGCAUAAUUGUGCAGCAUGUGUGCACAUAGCUAUGGCUCUACCAUAGAAAUUGCGACCCACCCAUUAGUGGAAAUAAAUCAAGAAGAAGAGCUGCGCCAGCCUCCUUCUGACUGAGCUUGCUGGAAGGAAGGCACCUGGGUUUUCCCUCUGAGACUUUGGAGCAAGGAACUCUGCAAUGUCCUAAACCCCAUCCCGAAGAAUACACAGAUCUCCUCUCCAGGCAAUCCUCAUUGUAAUAUCAACUGACUGGUUCAAUAGACCAAAACUUCUAAUGUGAGGAGAGAAGGGAAGGUGAACAGGAUAUCCUCCUCAUCUUCUGGUCCCAGGAAUGGUGGGUCCCCAUUGAUUACCAGUGCCUAACUAAAUUACACAAUUAAAGCCAAUGUAUGUUUAAGUGAGAAAUCCCAUUCUGCUAUCACAGAGGUGCUAAUGAAUCAGGCUGUUAUUGUGGUUGUGUUUGCUAGGCUUCUAUCCUUAAUUAAGCAAUUACAGGGUCUGCUGAUACUUAUGAAUUCCUUUCAGAUGCUUUAAUUGAAUUGCAACCUAAUGGAUAUUUGUAAAGUGGGGUAUUCUUUCUCUUGGGACUUCCCAGUUUGAUUCUGUCUCUACUGCCUACUUACUUUCUGUUGGGUCCCAUUACUAGAAAUGGGCAGCUUAAAACUAUCAGAUUUUAUUUUUGUAUAAUUUAAGGAAGUUAGUAAAGUUAGGGGACUAGAAGACUAAAUUGGCUUCUAAAGAUCAAUGAUUUAAAUGUAACUAGUUUGUUGGGUUUUAUAGUUAAAAUUAUAUUUGUGUAUGUAACAUAACUCAUCCAUAAAUUAUAAUAAAUAUAUUUGCAAUUAUUAAAUAUUAAAUGAUUUUUUUAAAAAAGAAAUGGACAGCUUAACAUGUGACUUUCCUGGAGCUUCUCUAUUUCUUUACUUUUAAAGAUAUCAUUAUAAGAAUUAUAAGAAUUAUGUUCACAUCCGGGGAUCCUGGAGAGUCACUUACAGGAAAGAAUUAACGCAAUGAACAGAUUUGGGGAGUGUUUUUUAAUGAGUCCAAGAUUUUUACAAGCACAGAAUAAGAAAGAUAGUCUUCAACAGAUAAACUUUGGAUGAUACAUAAAUUAGUAGGAUAACUUUUGCCUCGAAUAUUUUUUGUCUUGUUGUGUAGACAGCCAUACAAAAAGUGUAGACAAGGAAAUACAAGAGAGCAGUUGUCAAAAGCAUAGGCCACAUACUCUGAGAAUACAGAGCAAAUAACAAUUGUUGAAUGGAAAAGUUUUCUUCAGGGAGCUGGCAUUUGAGUUUCUGAGAAGAUCUGCUACAUUUUCUUUGGGCAGGCUGGGUUUGAUUCAUCCAGGCAGAAGAAGUUGGCCUAUAUCAGAUCUCAGGAAGAGUUGCCUAAAAAAAAUGGACAUAUUCAUCAAUCAUUUUUCUCUCCACUUUUGUAUUGGUGUGUGAAUCUUCCUCUUAGCUCUUCUGCCACUGAGCGUUCACUGCUCCGCCUUCCGCUCGCCGUCUGUACAGGCACACCAUCACCCACUGGUCAUGUGAAUGAAAGUGCAAACCUCCAAUUACAGCCUGAUUAUUUUCAUCUUUACAUCAUGAGUCAUCCCCAGAAUGAGCCUCAUCAUGCUUAUGGGUCAUUCAAUUACAUGGUUAUUUAAUAAUUUUUUAUAUUCAUUGAGCACAAUGCUAGGAAUACAGAAAUGCAUGAUAUAGUUCCAGCCUUUGAGCAAAGUAAUUGUGUCUCCUGGAGUAAAGAAUGUAUCAACAUGAAGAAAAAAAUAUUUUAAAAAGCAUAAGGGUAAACAUGCCUUAAAUACUAUACAAAUGAAAACAGCUCAGGUUUUAUAAAACACUAAGAGCAAAUAUGUAACUGCUGUCAAAAAGACUAGUUUAAAACCCAGAAAUAUAGAACUCAGAGAGGAGUGGUCCCAGGUACUGACCCAGCCCAAGUCAUUGCACACCUGGUGUACGGUGAUCAUCCGAGGACCAUCCUAUUAGGAAGGACAUCAGGAAACUGCAGGUGGUCAGAUCAGAGGAGAAUGAGCAAAGAUGAUAAGAGCCUCAGCCUGCCAAUACCUGAAGAUUGGGGGUAGGAAUUAAAAGAGAGAUAUCCACAAUGUCAUCAAGUGUUUCACGGUAAAAGAGGGAGAAAUAUGAUUUGUUUAGUACUCAUUCCAGAGGAACAAAUAAAACAUCAAUAAAAAUAAGAUUUGUUUGCCAUGGUUUAAUGGCAGUCACAGACCUUGGAGCUAAAACACUUAAAGAUGAAUUCUUGCUCUCCUGCUUCCUAAUUAAUUAUUUAUGUCAGACUGGCCUGCUUAUCUUGGUGUGAUGCUGGUGACCGGGAGGUGAGGGAAACAGCAAGGCCCAUAUGGCAUUUAUGUGCCAGCCUAUCUAGGGCUUCCUAUAACUAGGAAAAGAUAGUCUUGGUGGUGUCAUCACCUUCAGUGGAGUCAGACUGCUGAGGAUGGUACGGCCUCCUGAUUGGGGUGUUCAGUCCUCACCAUCUACUUGGUUUUAUGUGCCAAGAAAAGAUAGAUGUUGAUUUACCCUUGCUGUUACAUGUCAGGCCUGUGGAUUGGCUUUGGAUGGGUAGGUCAGUGAGGAGAUUCCUUCCUUCUAAAUUCUCUGACUAGUAUUUCUAUUCUUCUAGUCCAAAGCCUUCUGUGCUUUUUACUCUUACGCUUUUAUGUUUUAAUACUGAUGAGAUGAGGGGAGAAAAUAUCCUGGAUAGAGAUGAGGCCUGUCCUAUGCAGAGCUAAUGAGACCAGUGGAAUGGUAGAGAAAGUCAGAUCUGUGAGCUUUUCCCUAGGCAUUCCUUUUCAGGUCCUUCUCCUUCCCUCCUACUUUAAAGUUCUUUCUGUCUGACUUUAAGCAGGAUUGUCUGGCUUGCUUUCUACCUGGUGGGCAUUGGGGAAUGGAAUGGGAAGCUUCCAGAAAUCUGAUGGCUUUUCUCUGUUGGAUCCUUUCCAAAAACAGCACCUGUCUCAUUGGUUGUACCCAAAUGCCUCAGUUCUAAGUCCAUUCUUGUGGCUUUCCCAGAGGAAUACAUUUCAGUGUGGAUUAUUCAACACCAUCUUGUCAACCUGUGGGCAUUUCCCAGCAGCCACUUAGUAGUAAUGUUGACAAGCUACUGUGCUGCUCACCACCACUCCAGCCCUGUGGGGGAGUCCAUUUGGCCAGACUAAUAGUAGAAAAUGACAGAAGCUGGAUGCAGGAGAGGGAGUGUAAAUGGUUUGGUAAUUUGAAAUUAAAGGUUAGUGCUUUGAAAUCUAGUAAUGGGCAGCCCCAGGGUGAGCAGUGCACACUGCUGUAAGAGUUAAUCUGGUUGCCAUGGAAACCACCUCACAAAUCCCCCAUCCCUUUCAAACAGAUUUGACUGGGUUUAAAAAAUAAAUAAAUACAACCAUUCUUCAUCAUUGAAAAGCUGUUUUCUCCCUCUCCCAAACUCCAGGUCAUUGCUCACCUUGAGUUUCUUUCAAAAAGUUUUCCUGAGGCUUCUCCAAUCAGAUGGGCUGGACUUGUUAGAGUUUGCGCCUAGUUUUUUGUGUAGAAUUUGAAUGAAUAGCACUAACAUGGGAAUUAGAAGACACUCGGUGUCCCGUGUGCGCAGCCUGUGCAAGCUUGCUCUCCUGUUGGCGUUGAGGAGGCGUCACAAUUUCAGUCCUGGCACUAGACAAGGCCACUGACCACAGAGUGUACUUCCUCGUUCCCUGUGCACGGGGGGCCCAGAAGAAGCCCAAGGAGCUGCUCUUCAUCUCAGGGCUGUGCAGUGUUCCCAGAUUCUGCUGCAGGGCUGCCAAGCACAGGCCUAGGAGGAGCAAGAACAAUCUACAGAAGUUCCUUUCAUAUUUGGAAGGCAUCUGAGACACAAUUGCAUUCUCUCCGUCAUUUUAUUUCAUCAUUAGAGCUUUUUCCAAUUUACUUAAAUGACCCUCUUAAUCUAGACCUUGUAAGUUUUUGGGCUUUUUUUAACCAAAGCUUCUUCACCCUUUGCCUAUGAUGAAGUAAAUGAGAUCUACAUCUCAUUUGGCUCCCUGCAAGAUUAGCUUAUAGGCUUGUAAAGUAGGCUUUGGAGGAAACUUUCUAUUCAAGCUUUCUGGAUUCCCUGUAGUUUUUCCUUAAUAUACUUAUUAUACUCUGUAAUGCUUUUACAAUAGCAUUCCUCAAUAAACCUUCGUAACUCCCAUGCUUACCUUUACUAUAUGUAGGAAAAUAUUUAAAUUGACUGGCUAGUCUAUGGCUGGUGGAGAAGUUCCCAUCUCCCUGCCCUUGUGUGCCUCCUUUUCCUGAGCUUGUACAUCUGCUAGUGAUUUUUCUAGGGUUAAUUUGGGUGUUUUUAUUUUUAAAUUGGAACAUGGUGUCUGUCUCUUCUCUGUGUGUGUUUUGGAUGCAGCCCCUGUGCUAGGCAUGCGGUUAUUAACUCCACUGAUAUACCAGUUCGCUCAUUAGCAUUUGCAUUUUAAAUUACAAGCUAGAGCAGACGACAUUUAUGCUAUAUUUGUACCAUUGCCUUCUUCAUGAAUGAUGUCGUAUGUGCAGGGAAUGCAGAAAUAACUUCUAAAGCCCUGAUGUAUUUUAGUCUCUUUUUUAGCAAACUGCUAUUUCUUUUUUACUCUUGAUUCUCAUUGUUUGAUAGGGAGUUUGUUUUUUUUUUUUUUUAAUUUUCCAAGUUUAGACCUAUUUGUAAGUGCUACUGAUUGGGAAGUGCUAACGACAGACCAGCCCUUCAUAUCAAAAUAGACAUAUUGCGUAGAGUGGCCAUCUUUCCCUUUCACGUGGUGCUCCUUGUAAGCAGCCUGCCUUGAUUUGAGGAGGGAGUUUUUUCCUCCACAGUUUGGUGGGUGGGAAGACAUGGUAACAGAUACUUGUUCUUGCUAGUAUUCUUGCUGGAAUCCCUCUUUUUUAUAGUUGACUAGUUACUGGUUACUUAACACCUGUUAAUUGCUUGGCACUGCAAGGGAAAAAAGGGAAAUAGUGUAUGCCUUCAAGGAUCUUAUUUUUGACAAGAAUCAUUUAUAUUGCACCACAGUACAGCAUAUACUUAAAUGUUAAUAUUGAGUGUAAAAUACCAAGUUAGUGGUGGGUUUCUUAAGUGAGAUUUGCCAGGAGGGAAGGUCUUGUGGAGCAGCUGUUGCUCUUGGCAGACGGUGUAAUAGCUUCAGCAUCUGGAUCUCAAGAACCAAAUCAGAAGUGCACAUAUAUCAUGGAUCUGUGAUUGGAGCCUUCCUAGGCUUGCACCACUGUGCCUAACAUAGUGUUUGUCUGGUUUCUUGCAGGCGGAUGGGGGCACAGAAAGCAAGUUCUGGUAGAUAGGUUUGUGUUCAUGCCAUUGCGCUUUCCUCUAUGAGCUCUAAUGUGGUUCUCUGAGUUCUGUUGCAGUUUCUUCCUGUUGGUGAAUUCUAACUUUUAAAAUAUAACAUGAAAAAUGCAGGGAAAUCAUACUGGAAGUAAAUGUGCUGCAUUGUUGGUAGGCAAGCACAAAAUCUGCAGUUGAUAGAAACUAUUUUCAUUUUCCCACAUUCUCCCUAAAGGUUUUCUCUGAUAUAAUCUUCAUUCUGCUAAUAGUUGUUGGAAUAACCAAGACACAAAGAGUUGCAUUUGAUGCUGAUGAAUCCAAGUACAGAUGAUAUAUUAAUUCAGAACCUGAUCCCUUUAAGGAGCCUCAUUACUGCACAUGGCAUAUCAUACAGUAAUAAAGAAAUUACAUGGUAUGGGGUAAUAGCAUUCUAAACUUCUUCUUAUGUUGAUCCAUUUCCCACUGUGAGGUUGGCCUCACAGUGAACAUUGCCAUAUCAUACUCACUCCUUAUUCCCUUAGAGAAUGGAUCUUACUAUUAGAAUGAGUGCUGGGGAGGUGGUAGCUUUGGUUCCUUCAACAUAGUAGCACUUGAGCUGUGCUAGUUCACAAUCCAGUUCUACUUCAUGUUUGAUACAGCUUUGUACAUUUCCUUUGAUUCUAUUCAUUAUUUUAAUAAUUUCUUACCUGGAAUCUCUUGAUUCAUGGUUUCUAAGAAAUCCAUACACAGCGCAUCAGAGCUCCAAGUGGGGUCCGAAGUCAUGUGAGGGGGUCCUUCCACCUCAGCAUCUAAGAGUUGAAGUGAGUCCAGUUCCCACCUCACCUCAGUCUUCACAUUAGUUCAUUUUCCAUAAAUAAAAGUACUCAUGAAAGUCUUUUGAGAAAUCGAUGGGCAGGACAAGACAAAAUUGAUGAAGAAUUGCUAUCUAUCUUUGUAUUUCUCCUCUGAAGAUUGUCCAUUUUGGGCCCAGUGUUUGCUGUGCCCUUCUGUGGCUUCCAUGAAAUCCAGGCUCCAGAUACAGGCCUUUGUGUCUCAGUCUUUAGCUUCUUUUAGUCUCUGUGCCUGUUACCUGGCAAAGUUGUUCUCUUGAAACUAGUAAGCUGUGCCUACCAGGGCAAGUCUAGAUCUCAUGGAGGAGAUGAGUGGGACCCCAGAAACUUGGAAGAGGUAAGGCAGAACAGGAGAUGUCAUUGGCUGGCAUCACCUGCAACCAGAUGAAGGUGCAUUUGGAUGGUAUGGCAGCAGGCACCUAGAUGGCACUCGGCACGUUCAUUCAGUAAUGUUUAGAAAUGCUCCUUAACAGUGCUGAUGAGAGCAGUUUUGACAAACAACUCACUAAAGAGCCGUGGAAUCCCACAGACUGUGUUUCAUUUUUUCAUUACAUUUGUUAACCUGGUGGAGGGCUGAUUGCUGCCAGUCACUCCCCAUCCUGCUGAGCUGGUGCUCGGAGGAGGGUGGAUGUGGCUUGACUGCGUUCCCCCAGCUGCCAAGCCAUCCAGCCUUCUUGUAGUUCUCUGUGCCUACCUCCACUAUGCCAUUGGCUCCUGACGGAAACCUUGAAUUAAGUGGGUUAGAAAUAAACUGCUUGAAUGCAUUUGUGCAGAUAGCUUCUCUCACCAGCUAUCUGAAAUGCUUUUUGAAAUACACGGGAGCCCUUUGUAAGCUGCUUUAUAAGCUGUGAAGUCCAUUGUUGCUGCUCUCUGCAGCCAGCGUGUCUCUAACCUAAGUAACGUCUACUUGGCUCUGGGCCAGUGCUUGGUAUUGGAAACUGGUGUAAGCAGCAAAGCCGCCCACCAGAGUCACUAGCAGCUGUUGCAAGUUGGAGGAUUUGCAGAAAUUGAGAUUGCUGUUCCCAGAUAUUAGCACUUGCCUGGUGAUGAAUGACCGAGUCUGUGCAAGGGGACUCUGUAUGCCUUCCUUCGGCCUUUUAUUCUCAGCCCUCUAUUGUGGCGCCUGCUCAAUGGCCCCAUUGUAGAGGAGGGCGGCUGAAUGGAGGGGUGAGUGGCCUGCCUCUACUGCCAUUCCCUCUCUCAGUUGGCCUAAACUGAGACAUUAAUAAUAGCUCUUUGAUCCCCUGAACUGGAUCUUGGGGCAGGAAUUUCGUGGCACAUAGCACAAAUGCCAAAGGCUAAGAAUCCAACCUUGAGAGAGUAGAGAAAUGAACUUCACCUAGAGCGAAUUGAGCCCUGCAUUGAGUACUCUAGUGCCCUUUUGCCUUAAUCCACCCAUCUGAUCCAGAAUAGCCAGGGAGGUAAGACCAAGACCUGGAAAGGUAUGUUCUGAUAAUGGGUGGUGUUUAUUUCUGAUAUGAUUUCCCAUGAAUGAACUUUUCAGAGGGUGACGCCGUGUUGUAUAAUUUCUUCUUAUCACAUAUACCCGUGCAUAUUCAUAUAUGCAUAUGCUGAAACCAGUGUAACAGUGCCAUCUUCCUAGAGAUUACACUGCAAAGAAGCAGCCUCAAUUAAGGGGCAUCCACCUCCUGACUAAAUCUCCCACUGCCACUCCUUCUGACAUCACUGUUUCGUCAUCAGAUUGUCAGAUGCUUGAGGGCAGGGACCUUGUCUAUCUUGUCACCACUGAACCCAUCCUAACACUGCCUAGAAUAGUGCUUCAGCAAGUUAGUGCUCACUAGAAAGUUCUUGGAUAAGUGAACGAGCACUGAUGUUUCUUGGCUAACAUUUUGACUAUUUUAAAAUUUAGAAAACAAAACCCUACGGUUGCCAUAGAGAAUAGAGAAAGAAUGCUAGAGCCGCAGCAACCCUGCAGUCACGAAUGGAACCAAACUGAGUGUCUCUCAGGAGAACUGGAUUAAUGCCUAGAUCUGCCCCCAGAGUAACAGAGCCUUGAACAGGUCACAGAGCCUCACUGGACCUCAGAUUUUUUUCAGAGGAUGAGGGGUUUGGAUUAGGUUUCUCUAAGAUUCAGUCCACGUCUGAAUUUCUAAUAAUAGUUUUCACUUAAUGAGUACUUACAUGCUGUGGAUUAAUUCAUUUGAUCCUUGCCAACAAUCCUGUGAGGUAGGCACCAUUACAUUACAAUCUCCAUUUUGCAGAUGAGAAAACUGAGGCCGGGGAAAGUGAACUUACUAAAUAAAUAGCAGAGCAUAUUUUCUUGAUCUCAUCAUAUGUCUCAUUUAGAAAGCAAUGCUCUAAUUGAUACUGAACAUACUCUCCUCCAGGUAACAAGGGACCUUUCCAGUCUUCCUCCAUUCACUGCAUCUGCCUGUGCUCUCUCACUAGCUAGGAAUCAAUCUGGUACUGCUUUUCUUCAUGACCAAAAGCAAAGCUUAAGAAGCAGACAGUGUCAGUGGCCCUACGUAGGAAGUGUAGUAAUGAAGGUGUGAAUUUUUAGUUGUUUGGGGGUUUGGAUUUGUUUUAUUGGCCCAGAGAUGACACCAAUAGGGAACACGAUGAGAGCAUGGCUAGGACAUGUGAUGGUAGAGCAAGAGACAGCAGGUCAGACUUGUGGGAUGGGUUUAUGAGCUGGGGCAUUUAUGGGUAAAUUAAACUUUAGCCCUGAGUAAGCAAAGUCCUAAGCCAGUUAUUACUGCUCUGGCACUUCUAAUGGGCCCUAUGCAACCCUUAUAAAUUAUUCAGCUGCUUUAUUAAUAAAAGGCCAAGCAACUUGCAUAGUCCUGGUGAUACUUCAGUGUAUCGCUUAGAGAGAGCAGGUUAGAGGAGUAGAAUAUUUGCCAACCACCAAGGAACCCUCUUUUCUAAUGUGGAGGUGACAGGGUUAAACUGACUACCUUGAAGAGCAGAGUUUCUGGACAGAGUGCGUGAAACUGUCAUUGAAAUGUUAACAAUGUCUGCUAACAAAGGGCUUUCCUCUGGGAAGUGGCUGUUGAGAUUUCCUGGACUUUUGGAUCUGAUGCACCUUUCGCAGAAUGGCAUGACUGCGGCGAGUAAGUGUCCCAGGAGAUCCAACAUUUAAGCCUCAGAAGUUUUUUAUUUUUUGUUUUUAAUAAUUCUUAUGCCUCUUUAUUUUAAUAUAAUUUUAUACUUACAGAAACGUUAUAAGAAGACAAGUACAAAGAUCCUUCCAUUUACCCUUUAUUAAAUUGUUAACAUAUUGCCCCACUAGCUAUUUAUGUAUUUUUAGAACCAGAGAUUUUGGUCAGACUGCUUCUCACAUCCAUAAGAACAGGAAAUGAUGUUUUUCCAUCUCAUAGAGAAAAUACGUUUUUCUAAAAGUUCAAAGGGUCACCAUUCUUGUUUCACGAUAUUGUUCCAGCCUGAAAGGCGACCCAUGGCAGUUGUACAUCCUGACUUUUCCAGGGAAACUUCUGCUUUCAAGUUCUCUGUUCAAAUUCCAGGCCAACUGUGAGGCCAGUGGGUCUUUUUGGUUCAAAACUUAGCAUUCUAGCAGCUUUGGGUUGGGGCUUCUAUCAGGUUGAGAUGUUUUCAGGGGUGAGAGAACCUAGAAGUAUAAUAGGAUUAAGUAAUGUAGUUUACAGCCCUGUCUGGAAGCCUCUGGAAAUGUGUACAUCUCAGGAUAUUUGCAUAUUUGCUGUCUGAGUUUUUCAUGCUGCCCCUGGCUAUGACAGGAGCUUUAUACUGUUACAUUCUUUUAGAUUUCAGGAAAUAAUGGGUCAAAAGUAUGGCAAAAUAAUCUACUUCAUAUAUAUUUCCAAGCAUGUUGGGAUUGUUAUUUAAUGGCACUAUGAGAAUUUCAGUGUUUUUUUUGGUCAACUACAAAUAUUAGCUGAAUAUCAACCUGCUGAAUGCAGAUGAACAGCACAGAGAUGAGAGGGCCCUCAAGGCUGACGCUUCUCAAGACACCAGCUCGAGAGGCACGGAGGGCAGCUAGUACCUGAUUCCUCUGGCGCUGGCCUCACAUGUCAUGGCACAGACUAAAAGGAAGACUUAUUUUUGUCAACUUUGCACACUCAUCAUUUUUGCAGUUCCAUCCACUCUUGAGUCUUGUGUCCUCCUGCAUUUUCACUGAAAUGAAUACCGUGUUGGUAUGUUUCCUUGUCCUCAUUGAUUAUGUCUCUUUCACCCUCACUCAGCUCUGUUUUCUCACCCAUCAGAGAACAGUAUGGAUUUUAUAGCUUUAAUAGCAAGCAUUGUGCCAAUAAUGGCCUCACCAUUCUUAGCUUUUGUACUUUUUUUGCCCCCAUUGCUAUCCACGAUCCUAUAAAGGACUGCAAGGAGAUUGAUACUUUUUGGUACAGCAGGACACACUCAGUGUAGUAGGGUUGAGGUAGGAAACCUAAUUCAAGGGGAAUAAAAUAGGUGAAACAUGAGUUGGAAAUAGUUAGAGGAAAGUUGAUAAUGGAAAGUUUAGUAAGUAAGAAAUUGGAAGACCUUCUCAUCCAGACUCUACUCCUUCCUGUAUGGCCUUAAAACAAAGCUCACACAGGUAUCUGCUCCUGCUUCUCUGACUCAUUGUUUGUGCCUUUAUAGGCUGUACCUCCGCCCUCAACCCUCCAUUGUUAACUCCAGGUUAUAGUCCUGGCUAUUGGCCUUGAAUUAUGUGAAACGGUAUCUGAUGUUCUUUCAAGGGCUCAAAUGCCAUGAUCUUAUCAAUUCUGCUCCUUACUCUCUUACAUUUUGAGUUUGAAAUCACGUCAGCUGAUCAGCAAAUUGAGUUGAUUAAAUUUUUUGCCCUGACAUAAAUGUGAUCUGUAUGAGUAGGAGAUGACAGCUUAGAAGACAGCCUGGGUCUUCCUUUAGUUCAUCAGAUAAACACUCUAAUUGGAUAACAGAGCUCAGUUUUAAAGGAGACUGAGCUCAAAGGUGAGCUAGCCAAGGGCUAAUGCUAAUGCCAUUGAUCCAAUUCUCAGAAGAGCAAUUAGGGCCCUAAUGAGAUGAGGACCUUAGGCUUUUGUGAUAGCACCAGAGAGAAGCUGAGAAACUGUCUUGAAUGGCCCUACCAGCUUGGAGCAAGCUGCUUGUUUGGGAUUCACCCGUUGCUCAAAUGUCUCCCAGAUGUUUGUGCAAGAUCUGGGCCCCUGCAUAGCCCAACCCUCUUCCGUUCCCAGUUCUCUUUUUGUAAGGAUGAUAGAUUCAUGAUGCUCACCAUUUGAUUUAACUGGGAUUUGUCUUUCUUUGUCAGGUGCUCAUUCGUAAGGCUACAGAUUUAAACACACAAGCUGAGAAAUAAGUUUCAAGUUCUGUUAAAAUGCUGUUUCGCCCACUUCACACAUGUGGUAUAUUAAGGGUUCACCUUUAGCAACAGCCAAUUAGUAAUUGCCAAUACUGCUUAUGUGUGGUGUGGGAUUCUUAACAGUUGCUAUGAGAACUUAACUUUUGCAUUCCCUGACUCAUUUUACAUGAACAAUGCAAAUGUGAAGAGAUUUGAAGGGGAGGGAUGAGAAGACAGGGAGCUGGCAAAUAAACGAAGCCCUGUUCCCUCGUAAAUCAUUUUGAAUGGUAAGUUCUUGAUGCUCAUUCGGUUUUUCCACCUCACACUCUCUCAUGCACAUUUGUUUUCCCUAAACCCUUAAGAAGAAAGUAAAAUAGUUUGACCUUUAUUUGCAUCAAACUUAAAAGCAGUUCAAGUUCAAUACUUAGCAAGAAGAUUGCCUUUAAUGAGCCAAGUUUAGAAGAGCUGGAUUUUAAUCUCUUAAUGUUGGAAGGAGAUGAGAUGUGCAUACACACUGAGAAAGUAAGCUUAUGGCUUUAACUAUUAAAUUCAAAAAUGAAUCACUCUCCCAGCAGCAUUUAAGAACAAAAAACUGUGUGGGUUUCUUUUGUUGUUGUUUGUUUUGGGAGGAAAAGCAUCUCAUACAGCAUGCGCCUGUGUGUGAAAUCUUGCAAUUUGAAAAACACCCUUUCCUCAACAGCCCAGAAGUCAUCUUUACUUGUUUUGGACAUCACCUGAGGACAAAGUUUUUUUCCCAAACCAAGGUCGUCCUUUGCCUUCUUUGAAGCCGCCUCCCAGCUCAAGAUCUGGCCCCAGCACAGGGUGAAAUGUGGUUAGAGCCUCUGAAGAAUGAAAAGGUGCUUCCCUCAGCCUUUGUCAGCGCUAAUGGCCAGCUGUGUUUUGUGCACUGUCACUUUGUUUUUCCUCUCCCUUGUCAUUUGGUGGGCCAGGCUUUAUGCUGAAUAGCUGAUAAAGAGUGCUUAUCCCCCACUCCCUUCCCUCUCAGUUCUCUUCCUCUUACUGUACUUGAAAGAAAACUGGAAUGCUGGGUCAGAACUUCUUGAUUUGCCCUUCAGAGUGGAAACUGUAAAGGGUCUGUGGUCACUAGGACCCCAAGAGCUCUAGAAUAGCUCUUCCCAAACUUACUAAAUGGGUCUGGAGUUGGGCUAGAGAAUUUGCAUUUCUAGCAAGUUUCCAGGCGAUGUCAAUAUCAGUGAUUUGCAGACCCUCAUUUGAGUAGAAAGGGUCUAGACUUCCCUCCGCCUUUUUUUUCUCUAGGUUUGGGAAUUAUGAAAUAUUCAUUGCAUACACAAAGUGUUAGUGGCUAAGAGAACAGGUUUGGAGCCAGUCCCCACCUAGUCUAAGUUUAGGCUCCCUAACUUGCUAGAUAUGUGAAACUCCCAGUUUCCGCAUUAAAGAAGUGGAGAAAAAAUAGUGUCAUUGUGAUCAGCAGAUCAUCCUUGUGAUGUGCCUCUUAUCCGGUGAUAUAGCACUUGUAUGAUGCAAAGAAGCCCUACGUGGCCAUUUUGAUCCAACACUUGAUGUGUGAAUUGAAUCCUGCCCGCAUACAUGCUAUUGUCCAGGAAGGCCUUUGCCUUAUGACAUUUUAGAGCAUAUCCUUGAACCAGUAUGUGACUUUCCCUACCAUCCAUGAAAUGAAACUGCAGUCUACUAUUACAUUCCCUUCCUCCUGCCCAGAUUAGCCCUUGCCUGGUGAGAGGUACUGAGCUCUUAGUGUGCAUACUAAGCUGGUCUGUCAUUGUGGCCACAUCUUAUAGAGAUUUAAUGGAUCUCUCCUGCCUUGAUGCUUGUAGUCAGGACCUCUAUGUUGUACAGCAGAGUGGGGCAAUUAGCCACCCACCUUGAAGGGUAAGAGGGCAGUUCUUUCAGUAGCAAUGGUAGUUGCAGAUUAAAUCUCAGAUGUGUAUAGGACCAGAGACUCUUUAAAAAAUAUUCUGGAUCUCAUACCCCAUUAGGAUGGCUACUAUCAAAAAACCAAAAGAUAGCAAGUAUGAGCAAGAACCAAUUUAUUAAUUUUUAAAAUCAAUACCAAUUCAAAACACAUCUAGAUUUGGAACCCUUGUGCGCUGUUUGUGGGAUUGUAACGUGGUGGCAGCUGCGAUGGAAAGUAGUAUGGAGAGUCCUCAAAAAAUGUUAAAUAUAAUUACCAUGUGAUCCAGUGAUUUUGCUUCUGGGUAUAUAUCUAAAGGAAAUGAAAUCAGUAUCUUGAACAGAUACCUGGAGUCCCUUGUCCAUUGCAGCACUUACUCACAAUAGCCAAGAUAUUCAGACAACCUAAAUGGCCAUCUAGGAACCAAUGGAUAAAGAAAAUAUGGUAUAUACCUACCAUGGAAUGUGAUCUAGCCUUAGGGAAAAAAAAAAA
Long non-coding RNA from Sapajus apella (tufted capuchin), 15035 nucleotides. RefSeq lists it as uncharacterized. The transcript has 2 exons. NCBI's taxonomy places the organism in Eukaryota, Metazoa, Chordata, Mammalia, Primates, Cebidae. The record is from RefSeq and is a predicted model, not a curated record.